GAUGCUGACCCAGGACAGAGCGCAGCACAGCAGGGAGCAGUGUCCCUUGGCUGUCCCCUGCUCCCAGGGUUCGCAGAGGGCCACAGUACACAGAGCCUCACACUCAGAAUAAACACUGGGCUGCAGCUUGCACGGAACAAACCAACACACUGGCCCCCACGUCGUCCUGAAGCGCAGCAAGCGUGCAGGUGGCACAAAAGCUGCUUUGUCUCCUCCAGCACAGCUCUAGUGGACACCUGUAGCUGAUCCAGCCUGAUAACUGCAGAGGAAGAUAACCGAGCUCUACAGCUUGAGAAAAGAGAAGCAUCCCCUGCCUGGAUCCUGAAGCCCCUUUAAGAUCCACCUGAAAGGGCUUUUAUACAGUAUUGCAGCAAGACACUCUAAACUUCAACUGCUCCCUGCUCUCUGUGUAUCACCUCCUCCAAGCCUCUGCAGUGCAGCACACAUUUGUCCAUCUGUGAGCAGAAUGCAAUUGCUGCGAGAACCAACUUACGCAGCUCUGAGCAUCACCCAGAGGGCUUUGCUUGAGAGCAGUUUAUCAGCAGUUGCUUCCCAAGGCUGCAGUUUGCACCAUAACUCCUACCCUGAAGCAUUCAUCUCUGGGAUAUAUCUCAACCCUCCACUGGUGCCGUCAACUCUGCAGGGAGCAGGAAGGAUUUCAAACUGAUUCUUAGAAUUUUUAGACUUCUUAGUGCUGCUUUCAUGCAGAAGACAUCCUUCCUCCUCCGAGCACACACAGAGCAUGUGAAGGGGAGCCCUGCUUGUUUGCUGCUGAUAACCAGCAGUACACCAAGAGACAACAUAAUCCAUUACCCCAAACACAGUGAACCGUGGAGGGGUGAAGAAAGAGGUUACAGCAGAGGAUGUGUUUACUGAAUUGCUGCCCUUUAGUGGGACAUAGAGCCAUGACCAGAGCUGCUCAGCCACUCUCUGAGCAUCACCACGUGGGGAAGGAUGGCAGCAUCAGUCGCUUUCCCAUGCAGCAGUCCCGUUCAACAGUUUGAGCUGAAGACAGCAAACGGGACUGGAUCGGUAUGGGUUUUUCUGCACCUGCUACCACAGUCAUAAAGGAUUCAAGUUUUGUACAAUGCCCGUGGACCAUCCAGCCUGGUUCAAGAAAAAGGUAGCACAACUCUAACAGCCUUCAUGGAGCAAGGCAUCUGCAGAAGAAACCACCACCUCAGUCCCUGGGUUACAUCCUCAAACAGGAAAGCUUGCAUACCCUGAAAAACAUUUUGUCUGUGGCACAGCUAUCUAGAAAAAAUUACUCCCCUAUCUUUAUAUGCUGAAAGCAAGCCUUGAGUAGGUAUUUGAAAGAAAUCUAUAUUAUUGGAUAUAAUUAAGUCUCAUAAAGCUGUAAUGACUUUCUGAAGGAUAAUAUUUCCCAGCUGCUUCUCAAAAAUUCAUGAAGAACUUACUUUAGGUAAUAAAAAGUGUGUAAGAAUCAA
Non-coding RNA from Phalacrocorax carbo (great cormorant), 1448 nucleotides. NCBI's taxonomy places the organism in Eukaryota, Metazoa, Chordata, Aves, Suliformes, Phalacrocoracidae. The record is from RefSeq and is a predicted model, not a curated record.